Molecule: ribosomal RNA, 721 nt
Filed under: Dinophysis sp. CBC4-L124
Lineage: Eukaryota; Dinophyceae; Dinophysales; Dinophysaceae
Description: LSU rRNA
Rfam family: Eukaryotic large subunit ribosomal RNA
Source: RNAcentral
AAGCAUAUAAGUAAGCGGAGGACAAGAAACUAAACAGGAUCCCCAUAGUAAUGGCGAAUGAACAGGGAUGAGCUCAGCAUGGAAAUUGGGGCCUGUGGCUUUGACUUGUAAUCUUGAGAGGCAUUGCCAACAGAGGCGCAGAUGUAAGUCUCUUGGAAAAGAGCAUCAAUGAGGGUGAGAGUCCUGUUUGUCAUUUGCAGCCCCCCUGUGCACGGUGUGCCUUCUAAGAGUCACGUUCCUCGGGAUUGGAGCGCAAAGUGGGUGGUAACUUUCAUCUGAAGCUAAACAAUGGUCUGGGACCGAUAGGAAACAAGUACCAUGAGGGAAAGGUGAAAAGGACUUUGGAAAGAGAGUUAAAAGUGCCUGAAAUUGCUGAAGGGGAAGCGAAUGGAACCAGUGGUGCUGGGUGAGAUUGUCGCAUGCUGCAAGGAUUGGUUGCUGCUUCAGCGCAAGCGGAUUGGCAAUUCUUGAGCUGUACGUGUGCGGUGUGUCUUGCCUUGUGUGUCAUUGUGGGUUUAUGCAUUAAGACAAUUCAAAAUGCAUGGCAAUAUGUUUCUGAAUCUAUGAAUGCAUUUUGUUAUGUUUAUGCAUAAGCUUCCUGCUGAAUGUCUGGCUGCAGAGCUUGACGUCCUGAGCCUUGUGCUGGGAUGAGUUGAGCAUUUCCUUCUGCACAGAUCUUGACUAAAUGGUUCUAUUCGACCCGUCUUGAAACACGGGGACC